RNAcentral lists this ribosomal RNA (217 nucleotides) under uncultured bacterium. RNAcentral's name for it is "partial 16S ribosomal RNA". It matches the Rfam family "Bacterial small subunit ribosomal RNA", at positions 1284 to 1500 of the family's 1533-position model. The record is from RNAcentral.
GGUCUCAGUUCGGAUCGCAGUCUGCAACUCGACUGCGUGAAGGUGGAGUCGCUAGUAAUCGCGGAUCAGCACGCCGCGGUGAAUACGUUCCCGGGUCUUGUACACACCGCCCGUCACACCAUGGGAGUUGGAAAUGCCCGAAGCCAGUGACCCAACCGUAAGGAGGGAGCUGUCGAAGGUGGAGCCGAUGACUGGGGUGAAGUCGUAACAAGGUAAC